AUGAGUCUGUUAUGCUGAAAAUGUCGCGAGAUUGGCAAUAUCUCGACAAUUCAAGAGCUUCGCGAACUCGCACAAAAGCUUGCCUAUAGAGUACUUUGUAUUGUAGAAACCCAAAUUUGUGGUGCUAGAGCUGAAAAUCUAAAGAGUACUCUAGGUUUUGAUAAUUCUUUUGCUGUUGACUCCUCUGGUAGGAGCGGAGGCCUGGCUUUGUUUUGGAAUAAUGAAAUAAAGAUAGAAAAUUUGGGUUACUCACAUUAUCAUAUUGAUGUGAAAUUUAGUGAUUUAGGUGGUGAUCUGUGGAGACUCACCUGCUUCUAUGGGGAGGCACAGACCCACCUUCAUCACAACACGUGGAAUACUAUGAAAAAUCUCUUGACUCUCCACAACAUGCCUUGGGUAUGUAUGGGGCAUUUCAAUGAAGUUUUAAGGCAUGAUGAGCAUGAUGGCAUCGGCAACAGAAGUGUAGACGGAGAGUUUGUGAUACAAUAG
RNAcentral lists this ribosomal RNA (489 nucleotides) under Triticum aestivum (bread wheat). Its description in RNAcentral is "partial small subunit ribosomal RNA". Lineage: Eukaryota; Viridiplantae; Streptophyta; Magnoliopsida; Poales; Poaceae. The record is from RNAcentral.